Xenopus tropicalis (tropical clawed frog) is the source of this 503-nucleotide long non-coding RNA. RefSeq lists it as uncharacterized. The transcript is spliced from 3 exons. The record is from RefSeq and is a predicted model, not a curated record. NCBI's taxonomy places the organism in Eukaryota, Metazoa, Chordata, Amphibia, Anura, Pipidae.
GACAUCAAAGAACUGAUUAACAAUAUGGAAGAGACAAAUCAAGGAAACCUAAUUAUUUUUUGUUCUGUUAUGGGCUGUGGCCUUUUACUAAUAAUUGUAGUUUUGCUAUGCCUGGUACCCAAAAUGGCACACCUAAAAUCAAUGCGAUGUUCAGAUGAAGUAUAAAGAUUAGAUGUCUUCUUCUAUGUCCUGGAACAAGUGAUUUCUUACCAGGAAAGAAGCUGGACAUUCUCAACUGGCAAUAAGACUUUUGUUAAAUCUUUAGCCAACUGGCUGGAAGAACAAGAAUAUAAACAGGACCAACUGGCUGUGUUCCAGCAACUCCUUUCUUCUUUGUCAUUGCAGAAUAGAAAAAGAAGACCAGCUGCAGUUUUGUCUCUGAAUUAUAAUCUGUACACUGUAUUAUACUAUACACAAGCACACUGCCUAACAAUGUGCUUUUCCCAAAGUGUCCGUAAAACAGCAAAAAUAUUAGCACGAAAAAGCAUUGAAAGAAAGUUAUA